CCUCUUUCUUAUCUUCUGAAUGAGUUAGAGAUUCAGGAAGUACCGAAUGACCUCAAGGACCUAAUAUCCUCAAUUCUACCAGAACUGGAAGAAUUGGAAGAGGACUCUGAGCAUCAGAUAAGAACACCGGCUAGAUAACACCUUGGUUUCCGCCUUGUGAUACCAUGAGCAGAGAACCUAGCUGCGGUAUGCCUGGACUGGUGAUCUACAGACAUGUUAGACAAUCUCAUUCUAAGCCUCUGCACUUGUGGAUAUUUUUUAAUGCAGAAUUAGAAAACUAAUAAUGUCAGAUUGGGUAAAUUGUGUUUUUCAGAAAAUUUGUUCAUUGUUUCCAAGUUGUAAAAUUUAUACAUGUAAACAUGUUCAUAAAUUUUUAUAUUUUCG
RNAcentral lists this long non-coding RNA (384 nucleotides) under Homo sapiens (human). RNAcentral describes it as "HSALNT0317050". Lineage: Eukaryota; Metazoa; Chordata; Mammalia; Primates; Hominidae. The record is from RNAcentral.